GACGAACGCUGGCGGCGUGCUUAACACAUGCAAGUCGUACGGUAAGGCCCUUUCGGGGGUACACGAGUGGCGCACGGGUGCGUAACACGUGAGUAACCUGCCCACAACUUUGGGAUAACGCUAGGAAACUGGUGCUAAUACUGGAUAUGUGCUCCUGCUGCAUGGUGGGGGUUGGAAAGCUCCGGCGGUUGUGGAUGGACUCGCGGCCUAUCAGCUUGUUGGUGGGGUAGUGGCCUACCAAGGCGGCGACGGGUAGCCGGCCUGAGAGGGUGACCGGCCACAUUGGGACUGAGAUACGGCCCAGACUCCUACGGGAGGCAGCGGUGGGGAAUAUUGCACAAUGGGCGCAAGCCUGAUGCAGCAACGCCGCGUGCGGGAUGACGGCCUUCGGGUUGUAAACCGCUUUCAGCAGGGACGAAGCUUUUUGUGACGGUACCUGCAGAAGAAGCACCGGCUAACUACGUG
RNAcentral lists this ribosomal RNA (465 nucleotides) under uncultured bacterium. RNAcentral's name for it is "partial 16S ribosomal RNA". It matches the Rfam family "Bacterial small subunit ribosomal RNA", at positions 28 to 507 of the family's 1533-position model. The record is from RNAcentral.